ACGCGAGGAACCUUACCAGGUCUUGACAUCCUCUGACACUCCUAGAGAUAGGACGUUCCCCUUCGGGGGACAGAGUGACAGGUGGUGCAUGGUUGUCGUCAGCUCGUGUCGUGAGAUGUUGGGUUAAGUCCCGCAACGAGCGCAACCCUUGUUCUUAGUUGCCAUCAUUUAGUUGGGCACUCUAAGGAGACUGCCGGUGACAAACCGGAGGAAGGUGGGGAUGACGUCAAAUCAUCAUGCCCCUUAUGACCUGGGCUACACACGUGCUACAAUGGAUGGUACAAAGGGCAGCAAAGCGGUGACGCCUAGCAAAUCCCAUAAAACCAUUCUCAGUUCGGAUUGUAGGCUGCAACUCGCCUACAUGAAGCUGGAAUCGCUAGUAAUCGCGGAUCAGCAUGCCGCGGUGAAUACGUUCCCGGGCCUUGCACACACCGCCCGU
RNAcentral lists this ribosomal RNA (439 nucleotides) under uncultured bacterium. RNAcentral's name for it is "bacterial SSU rRNA". It matches the Rfam family "Bacterial small subunit ribosomal RNA", at positions 959 to 1397 of the family's 1533-position model. The record is from RNAcentral.